GACGAACGCUGGCGGCGUGCCUAAUACAUGCAAGUAGAACGCACAGUUUAUACCGUAGCUUGCUACACCAUAGACUGUGAGUUGCGAACGGGUGAGUAACGCGUAGGUAACCUGCCUGGUAGCGGGGGAUAACUAUUGGAAACGAUAGCUAAUACCGCAUAAUAUUAAUUAUUGCAUGAUAAUUAAUUGAAAGGUGCAAUUGCACCACUACCAGAUGGACCUGCGUUGUAUUAGCUAGUAGGUGAGGUAACGGCUCACCUAGGCGACGAUACAUAGCCGACCUGAGAGGGUGAUCGGCCACACUGGGACUGAGACACGGCCCAGACUCCUACGGGAGGCAGCAGUAGGGAAUCUUCGGCAAUAGACGAAAGUCUGACCGAGCAACGCCGCGUGAGUGAAGAAGGUUGUCGGAUCGUAAAGCUCUGUUGUAAGAGAAGAACGGGUGUGAGAGUGGAAAGUUCACACUGUGACGGUAGCUUACCAGAAAGGGACGGCUAACUACGUG
Molecule: ribosomal RNA, 505 nt
Filed under: uncultured bacterium
Lineage: Bacteria
Description: partial 16S ribosomal RNA
Rfam family: Bacterial small subunit ribosomal RNA
Source: RNAcentral